AUUGAACGCUGGCGGCAUGCCUUACACAUGCAAGUCGAACGGCAGCACGGGAGCAAUCCUGGUGGCGAGUGGCGAACGGGUGAGUAAUAUAUCGGAACGUGCCCGGUCGUGGGGGAUAACGUAGCGAAAGCUACGCUAAUACCGCAUACGAUCUACGGAUGAAAGCGGGGGAUCGCAAGACCUCGCGCGAUUGGAGCGGCCGAUAUCAGAUUAGGUAGUUGGUGAGGUAAAGGCUCACCAAGCCGACGAUCUGUAGCUGGUCUGAGAGGACGACCAGCCACACUGGGACUGAGACACGGCCCAGACUCCUACGGGAGGCAGCAGUGGGAAUUUUGGACAAUGGGCGCAAGCCUGAUCCAGCAAUGCCGCGUGCAGGAUGAAGGCCUUC
RNAcentral lists this ribosomal RNA (388 nucleotides) under uncultured bacterium. RNAcentral describes it as "bacterial SSU rRNA". It matches the Rfam family "Bacterial small subunit ribosomal RNA", at positions 30 to 419 of the family's 1533-position model. The record is from RNAcentral.